RNAcentral lists this ribosomal RNA (570 nucleotides) under uncultured bacterium. RNAcentral's name for it is "partial 16S ribosomal RNA". It matches the Rfam family "Bacterial small subunit ribosomal RNA", at positions 355 to 1375 of the family's 1533-position model. The record is from RNAcentral.
UGGGGAAUAUUGCACAAUGGGCGCAAGCCUGAUGCAGCAACGCCGCGUGAGGGAUGACGGCCUUCGGGUUGUAAACCUCUUUUAGCAGGGAAGAAGCGAAAGUGACGGUACCUGCAGAAAAAGCACCGGCUAACUACAUGCCAGCAGCCGCGGUAAUACGUAGGGUGCAAGCGUUGUCCGGAAUUAUUGGGGCGUAAAGAGCUCGUAGGCGGUCUGUCGCGUCUGCUGUGAAAUCCCGAGGCUCAACCUCGGGCCUGCAGUGGGUACGGGCAGACUAGAGUGCGGUAGGGGAGAAUGGAACUCCUGGUGUAGCGGUGGAAUGCGCAGAUAUCAGGAAGAACACCGAUGGCGAAGGCAGUUCUCUGGGCCGUAACUGACGCUGAGGAGCGAAAGCGUGGGGAGCGAACAGGAUUAGAUACCCUGGUAGUCCACGCCGUAAACGUUGGGCGCUAGAUGUGGGGCACCAUUCCACGGUUUCCGUGUCGCAGCUAACGCAUUAAGCGCCCCGCCUGGGGAGUACGGCCGCAAGGCUAAAACUCAAAGGAAUUGACGGGGUCAUAGCUGUUUCCU